This 460-nucleotide ribosomal RNA is filed under the name uncultured bacterium. RNAcentral's name for it is "partial 16S ribosomal RNA". It matches the Rfam family "Bacterial small subunit ribosomal RNA", at positions 338 to 795 of the family's 1533-position model. The record is from RNAcentral.
CCUACGGGAGGCAGCAGUGAGGAAUAUUGGUCAAUGGGCGUAAGCCUGAACCAGCCAAGUCGCGUGAGGGAUGAAGGUUCUAUGGAUCGUAAACCUCUUUUAUAAGGGAAUAAAGUGCGGGACGUGUCCCGUUUAGUAUGUACCUCAUGAAUAAGGAUCGGCUAACUCCGUGCCAGAAGCCGCGGUAAUACGGAGGAUCCGAGCGUUAUCCGGAUUUAUUGGGUUUAAAGGGGGCGUAGGCGGCCUUUUAAGUCAGCGGUGAAAGUAUGUGGCUCAACCAUAGAAUUGCCGUUGAAACUGGGGGGCUUGAGUAUGUUUGAGGCAGGCGGAAUGCGUGGUGUAGCGGUGAAAUGCUUAGAUAUCACGCAGAACCCCGAUUGCGAAGGCAGCCUGCCAAGCCAUGACUGACGCUGAUGCUCGAAAGCGUGGGGAUCAAACAGGAGUAGAUACCCCUGUAGUC